AUAUGAGCGAAUCUAGUACAUGUUAGGAUUUGAUUACAUUUGUAGUUAAAUUCUAAUUGGAUUAAGAUUAAUAUUUAAAUUUAUUGAAGAUAAAUUAAGAUUUAAAUGUUAAUUAGAAUAUAAAUCUAAUUGGAUUAGGAUUUUGGUAGCUUUUAAUGUAAGCUAUAAACAUAGUAUAGGCGUUAUUAUUUUGGUGGUGAUUGUACGGAUUAGUCACACUCAUAUGGCAUGGCCAAGGUGGUUAUGAUUUUUGGAUGCACCUUAUGCAUGGGUGCAAUAGGACGUGAGCGGCUUUCGUAGCCGUGGGUCUUUGGUAUACUUUGUGCAUGGGUGUACAGGAUGAGAGAGAUGUCUUCUGAGAUUAUAGAAGACGAGAGAAGGGUAGGAGAGAUUCAAAAAGAGGGCUCGGGUUGUAGCUACUCUAUUGCAGAAAAGGAGUAGUGUAAAUUUUUUUUUUAAUGAAUAUUAUUUUAUCCGCAUAUUUUUUUGUUUAGUUAUUUUCUCUCUUUUAUGAUUAUAUUAGUUUCUGCUGAGAAGACGAGUUUAUGGUAAAAAUCCGAUUUGAUGCUUUUGUUGUGGAAUUCCAACAAUCAGUACCGGAUCAACAGUAGUCGGUAUCGGAGCAGAUUGCGGAUUCUCAAAAUUUGGUACCGGGGUGAGUGCCGGAUUCCCAACAAUUGGUGUCAGAGACAAAGGUUACUGAUCAUUGGGAGAGAUCGACGUCAAAAUAUUGGAUUACCGAUCUUUGUAGAAGAUCGACGUCAUUGUACGGUAUUACUGAUUUGAAGCGAUCGAUGUUAAAGGACAAUUUGAUCUCAUUAGGCAUGUUGGAUUCGAAGGGUUGCGAUUUUCGGCUUCAGGUGGAGUUAUGAGGGUCCGAAAGCGGGAUGGGGUCGUGUGCGAGGCGAACAAGUAUGGAAACUUGUACGUUUUGAACGGGAGCACAGUCAGAACGAAAGCAAAGGCGGUUUGGGUUUCAAAAGU
This 984-nucleotide long non-coding RNA is filed under the name Ananas comosus (pineapple). RNAcentral's name for it is "long non-coding RNA (ACOM_LNC005151)". The record is from RNAcentral. Lineage: Eukaryota; Viridiplantae; Streptophyta; Magnoliopsida; Poales; Bromeliaceae.